Ailuropoda melanoleuca (giant panda) is the source of this 6841-nucleotide long non-coding RNA. RefSeq lists it as uncharacterized. The record is from RefSeq and is a predicted model, not a curated record. The transcript is spliced from 9 exons. Lineage: Eukaryota; Metazoa; Chordata; Mammalia; Carnivora; Ursidae.
CUACUUACUUAUAUUUAUUGACUGCUUACUGUGUCCCAGAAGCUACGAAAAUGUUUUAAAUAAAGUAAUUUAUUUAAUCUACACAAAAGUCCUUUGGUGUUAAGGAAAAUGGCCCACCAAGAAGAUAGGCAACUUCUCCAUAGUCAAAAAGCUAAUCCCUCAUUGAAGCCCAAAACUCAUAGCUUUAUUCUCUGUGUCAAUCAAUCCUGGAAGAGUAAGCCUGACAAGAAGGGUGGGAAUGGAGUGGCUUAAGGGUUCAAAUGUAUACCCUCCUCACACUUGGAAGGCUGGAUAUGACAGAGAAGGCAGCCAUCAUGUGACUGAUGGAAGGCAAGAUGAGACCCAUUUUUCUCAACCCAACACAAACAGCAAUUAUUUCUAGAACCUAUGAGGGAUUUUGUUGGAUGAUGAAUAGAAACUCCUGCAGGAAUCAAUGUUGGUACUGUGUCCAGGGGAUCUAUUAAAAAUGAAUACCUCUGGAAUUCUCUAUUCUCAGUAAAUACUCAGUCCUGUGAAGAGAGCACAGAAGUCAUAAAAUGUUGAACCAUGCUCCCCAAGUCUGAAAUACAAUUGUGAGAAAAGAUGUACACCUUGUGACACGGCAAGAAGGCUGCAAAACUUUUGGACCCAAGGCAGCUUAUGGAGUUGGGACAUGACCAUCUCAAGGAAUGUGGAUGUGGUUACAGCUGCUGUUUAAGAAAUGACUAAGAAAAAAAAAAAAGAAAAGAAAAAAGAAAUGAAGAUGAAAGGCCUUUGUCAUCACAAUGGGAAUAUGUCUUAGUUAGCUUGUUGGAGGGUGAGAUGUGGAUAAGAGCAGUCACCUCUGUAAACAAUCAACAGACUCCAGACAUGUAAGUGUAGCCAAGUUCAGCAGAGCCGUCUUGCCAGCUCCCAGUUGACCCUGCACAUGUGACCAAUACACUCAAAAAGAUGAAUAAUCCGAUAAAGGAAAAAUGUAGUGCAUGGAACCUGAAUAUAAGGUAUGGACAAAACGAGAUCAUUCAUCUCACACAGUAAUUACCCUUAAAGCAAGAGCUCCACUAAGGGUAUUCCCUUUGCAGCAGAAGGGUCAUUUUAUCUUAAGGUCAUGCCUACCUAAAUUUUCCCAUUCCCUGAUGUUAACAUCAAUAACCCAUGCUGGGAUUAACACACUGUACCUUCCUAAAAUAACCUUCUAUUACAAGGUUGGAUAGUUUUCAAAACUGCCUUCAAUAUCAAUCUUAUGUAAUGAUGAAAACACAAGGUUAGAAAGUUGAGGUUUAAUAUGAAUCUCUGAGAUUCUUCUUCAUAAUAUCAUGGGAUGAUAAUGACUCAAAGUAAUGGGAGAAUCUAUAGCUUGCUAUUGAUUUCAUCAAACUACAGAUGAAAUAUAAAAUUCACAAAUUAGGCAAACUUGUCAUGGACAAAUAGCUUAGUACUCAGCUUAAUUACCGUGCUGGGGGUAGAAAGCUUGUCGCAAAUACAGUAUUGCUUCAAAUUUUGUUUGACAGUGUUGUAAAAAAGGGUUUACUUCAUCUUAUCUGCAUGAUUUUUAUCCCUAUUUGGGGAAAAGUAUACUACCAGUUAUUCCUCAGGUAUAAAAGUAAAUGUUACAUAAAGCAUGCUAUGAUAGGAAUAGAGUACAGUGCAAAGAGAAUUACAUAUGAGGAAACACAUUUGGGUUCAAAUCCUGGUAAGACUUUAGAAAAAGUAAUUAUUCGAGUAAUCAUAACCCAUUUUUAAAGGGUUAUAAAGAUAAGUCUCUCACAGUAUUGAUGUGAGGACUUAGUUAUAUUACCUACAUAAAUCACCAAGCAGGUAAUUGGUGCUCAAAUACCUUAUUCUUUUUCAGUCUCAUGAGUAACACCCUGCGGAUUGUUUGAAAGAGUGUGUGUAUGAUUAUUUAAAAGCAUAACAAUUUAGAAUUUAAGACUAUUCUUUGAAAUGCAGGGGCAGCCUGGGUGGCUCAGUCGGUUAAGCUUCUGCCUUCAGCUCAGGUCAUGAUCCCAGUGUCCUGGGAGCGAGCCCCAUGUCAUCGAGCUCCCUGCUCAGCAGGGAGCCUGCUUCUCCCUCUCCUGUCCCUCCCCCUACCCAUGUUUUCUCUCUCUCUCUCUCUCAAAUGAAUAAAUAAAAGAUCUUUAAAAAAAUAAGAAAUGCAGGGACAGUUUAAAAACUGAAGUGAAAUGUGAUUAGUACUCUCAUAUAACAUCAGUUCAAGUAAGAGAGAGAAAGCAUCAUUUUCAAAUGAUGUUUGUAUAGAAAAAUAUAUACCGUGAUCCGAUAAUGAAUACAAAAGCAGGAAUAUAUUAUAUAAAUGUAUUGUUUUAUAUCACAUUCUGUAUAAUACAUAAAUUAUAUAAAACAUACAAUACUAUUCUAACUAUAUUAUAUACUAAAUAUAAUAUUCAAGAAUAUAUAUUAUUGACUAAUAUAUAAUUCUGUUAUAUAAUUUAUAUUUGUAUUAUCACAAGUUAAUGUCAUGCUGUGCCUUGUAUUACACAGUUACAAUAUAUUGUAUGUGUAUAUAUAUUUGUAUGUGUUUAUGUAAAAUAACCACUUAUUGUAGUUAUUGCUCUUAUUUUCCCCAAUUAAAGAAGGAUCUUUUAUUGAGAAAGCAUAUUAAUAAAUUUUCAAUUUCGUUUUAUUAGUAGUUGCCAUGUGUUAGGAAAAAUAGGUUGAAGAUUUCUUAGAAUUAAAAGAGUAUCAGAACAGAAUUGUGAAAAUUAAAAUAUAACCCAGUGAUAUAUACUAAUAGAAAAGUAUUUUCAUAAUUUGAAAACAAGAGUUGUACUUUAUAUGGUUCUACUUUCUCUCACUUAUUUAAAUUUUUGUCUCUGAUUCCAAAUUUUUUAUGCGAUUUUAAACAGGAAUGGUAGAAUAGAAUCCAAUCUGCCUGUUGAUCAAAAAAUUCUCCCUAGUUAAUUUGAAGAUUUCUCCCAUUUGUGUAUCAGAAGUAAUAACUCUGUGAGCAUCCUGUCUGUUUGAAUCAUUUUCAUAUUACCAAGUACUCUCUGUGAUUACAGAACAUCUAGAUAAAUUUAGUUUUAUGAACACAGACUUUGUGUUCCUAAAACAGUAUGUAGUGAUAAAGUACUCAUACUUUUACUUUAUUCUUAAUUUACUGAGCUAUUAAAUCCCACUUUUUGACAUUGUAGUGUACAAACUUUAUUUUAUUAUAACUUUUGAAUACAAUAAAAAAGCUUUCUUUUGCUUCUUUAGCUUGUACUGCAGGCUUUCAGAAUGGCUCUGUGACUCUAGAACGGGUCAAAUAUUAGCUUUCCAUACAAAAAGAAGACACUAAUAUGUAUCUAAAAAUAAUGAAUAAAAACAAAUGAAAAGCCAAAUAGUUUUUCCAAACUACUGUAAUUAUUAGCUCACAAAAUUUCUCCCAUGCAUCUCUGCAAACUCACUGUACAGAGAAGGGAGCCAAGUGAGGUGGGAGAAGCACAGGCUAAGACAAAUGGACAAAUGACACUAAUGAGAUGUGUGAUUCUGAGCAAGUUAUAUUACCUCUCUAAGCCUUGGGGUAUAUUAGUUUGUUUCUGUGUUCUGUUUUUCUGCAAAACUGAGAUAGAGCCUACCUGGAAUAUUUUAAAGAGAUACAUAUUUAAUAUGUGCAAAAUAUAUAGUAUAGAGCCAGGCCUAUAUUCUGAACUCAUAUAUUACUGUAUAUCCUCAUCACUUUGCAGUAGCCUUCCAUCUGGUCUCCUUGCCUCUAGUCCUUCUGAAGAAUCCAUUUUUUGCUGAAACUCCUUACUCUAUAGGGGAUUAAUAAACUUAUACCAACCAGCCACAAUCUUUCUAACUUUAUCUUUAAACACUUUUUCCCCUCACAACAAACUUUACAUUGAAGUACAUGGGCUUUGCUCACUUUUCUCUCAUUCAAGUAGGCACUCAUGCCCCAUGCAAUUCAGAUACAAAUAUUUAAGAAGUCCCCAAAAGGAACUUAAUGAAAAUAAACUGUAUGUACUAGUACUAUGCUAGACAAUGAGAAAUGAUAUAGAUACAUCAGAAACAAAUUCUGUUUUCAGAGACAGGCAGCUUUCUGAUUCUAGAAGAUGGAUCUUUUUUAACUUAAUUUUGUUUUUAACUUGGAUUAUCCAGGGCUAAAAAACCAAGUAUAGUGGAACAUUUUCCAAAUGUUAGUAUUAUUCUAAUUAUCCACGCCUCCGUUUUAUUCAUCUUAAUAAUAUUAAAAGAAUGAAGGGUUAAGCUUAAUUGUCCCCUUAGUCUUUAAGCCAAAAAGCACACAGAGUUUAACAUUUACUUCACAGCCACAACACUUGUAAAGCAGUAGCAAUGACAAACUUUCAGUGCAUGAUAAUGUAAACAAUAUAAGCAUGAAGCUGUAUGGGUUCAUAAAAACACUGUUAAGUGAGAUUAAAUUUGUUCUUUAUUAAGUAAUUUGUUCCAUGUAGUCCAAAACAAUAGAAACAUAAAGAGAAAAAUUAAAAAUUCACAGCAUUCUCAGCCCUUAGAUACACAUAAAAUGAGAACACUACAAAGGGAGAUAUUAUUUGUAAACAUGUACUGUUUUUAAAUGAUUCCCAAAAAUUCCCAUGUUAUGAUAACUUUUUUGUGCCGUCCAUGGCAGAGAGAAGGAAGGCAGAGUGCAGAGGAAGCUUAUAUGUAUUUUGCAUGUUGACAAUAAAUAAAUUGAAAGGCCAGACUCAUUCAUUAGAAAAUAAAUUACAGAGAGAGGUUAGAAAUUGGAUUCUUAACUCCUGCCAGAAAUAUUGUAAAUUGUAUCCAGAUUGUUCCAAAUUAGUUAGAAGGUUUGUUGGAAAUACUAUAUUGUCUUUCCAUAUGCUGAGACCACCCUCUUAGCAGCUUAACAGAAAAGGAUACAGCAUAGAAAUUUCUGCCUACUUCCUUAUCCUCCAGUGCUCUGAAAUCAGCUGAAAGAUUGAUAUGCUUUCUCUGCUAAUGGAAUUCUUUUCUAUUCCUUAUUUGCUCCUGGACCAUGUAAAACCAUUUCAUAGUACCUUGGACAUUCCCAAGUGCAGAUUUAGCUUUUAUCACCUGUGGUCUCCAAAAUUCUUUUAACUAGACAGGCAGCCUAAAGUGUACAAGAGAAUCAGGCCUCUCUCCCAAGGAAGUUUGCAAUCUCUAAGAAUUGCAAAGGCAAACCUUACAAAGAAAUUAAAAGUCAGAAGGGUAAUAGCUCACCUAAACUAACUACCCAACAAAACCAGCAACUUUAUUUACAGAUUUCAGGAAGGUGAUAAACCUACGAGUUAGUUAUUAUAAUUUUACAGAGAAGACAACUUCAGUUCUUCAGGUCAUUGUUACCUAUCUUCAGUUACUAGAUGAUGCCAGUUUAUGCUGAGCAGUAAUUACCCUUCCAGUAACUUCAACUCUUUGAGAGUGUCUUGUACAUCAAAGGAUUAUUUUCUUCCUCUAUAUUAUAUUCUCAAGUGCAUAUAUUUAUACAAACAAAAGCAUGUGGAUUAACAUCCUAAAUGUUCAGUGUCAAGGAGUAAUUUGAAAUCAAAACUAUGUUCGUUUUUAGGGAGCCUCUUAGAGUAUUCUGAACAAAAUUUAUAUUUUGCUCAGUGGUUGUAGGUCAUCACCAUUAUUAAAAGAAAUUACUGUAUUGUGUUUUCAUAUGUUGAUGUCUUCAGGGUUUAUGCAAGUUGAUAGAAAAAUUUGUUCGUUACUACGUGUUCUUUUGGGGCUUUGUGUAUUUUUUUCUGUAGAUUUUCCCCUUUUGUUUCUUAGUAUCAGAUUGUGUAAUCUUGAUCCUGCCACUGUGCCUCCCUCUAGCUGAAAGUUUGUGCUUCUAAUCUUAUGUGACUUUGGAAAUUAGAUAGCCAGAAUCCUUACAAAGGUAUCUAAAAGUGCCUCUCAGUGAGACUUUCUUAUAAAUAAAAUAUAUAAACUUAAAUGCAUGGUCCAGUGGACAGACUCUGGUCCCUUCUCCAAGGUAUCCAAGCCUUUGUGUAUUCCCUUUCUCCUGAGUGUGAGCACAACCCCUGACUUGCUUCUAAACAAUAGAAUAUGGCAAAGUAGAGAGGAUGCCACUCCUUUGAUUAGGUUACAUUAAUGGUACUGUGAAGGGAUUUUGUAGAUAAUAAUUAAUGGUAAUUUGGUUGAUUUUGAGCUAUCAAAGGGGAGAUUAUCCUGGGUGGGCCUGACUUAAUCAGGUGAAUCAGUUUUAAGAGGAACUGGACCCUCCCUGAAGUUAGAGACUCUCUCUCCAGUGCUGCCUUUGAAGAUGCACACUGCCAUAUUGUGAGAGGGCCUGUGGUGAGGACCACGUGGCAAGAAACUGCAGGUAGCCUCUAUGAUGGAAGAGAAGCUGACAGCCAUCAAAACUGCUGAAGCUGUCAGUCUCACAGCUGUGAAAAAAAAAUGAAUUUUUCCAACAACUUAAAGGACCUUAGGAUCAGAUCUUCGCUCAGUCAACCUUGUCAUAAUCCAAAGUCCGGCCAACACCUCGAGUGCUGCCUUGUGUGACCCAGAUCAGAGGACACAGCUAAACCAUGCCCUGAGUCCUGCCCCACUGAAACUGUGACAUAGUAAAUGGGUAUUGGUUUAAGUUGCUGAGUUUGUGGUAAGGCAUUCAGCAUAAAUAACUAAUACGUAUAUGUUACAUUCCAUUCAUUUUCUAUGUACAGAGAAGCUUUGGGUCCUUUUCUUAUCCUUUCCUAGGUUCAAGUUGGUUAACUUUAUCUUCACUGAUUAAAGUAUUAACCAAAAUAUUUAAUAUACAUAUGUAUGUUAUACAGUUGAAUGUAUGCAUGUCAAGCACCUUUUUCAACUAACAUAUAUGCCAUAAAAACAUAAGGUUAUUCUGAAUGUGCCAUAAUUGCUUAAGAGGAUAUAUACCGAUGGAGUGAAAACAAAGAGGCUCGGGGCG